UUCAAAUGAUACUUCUUCUAACAUUGCUGCACUAUUGGCAACAGUGCUGCAAUGUUAGAAGAAGUAUCAUUUGGAA
Molecule: microRNA precursor, 76 nt
Filed under: Strigamia maritima
Lineage: Eukaryota; Metazoa; Arthropoda; Chilopoda; Geophilomorpha; Linotaeniidae
Description: mir-130 microRNA precursor family
Rfam family: mir-130 microRNA precursor family
About the family: The hairpin precursors (represented here) are predicted based on base pairing and cross-species conservation -- their extents are not known. In this case the mature sequence is excised from the 3' arm of the hairpin.
Source: Rfam by way of RNAcentral